UUUGUAUUUUGUAGGUUCUCGGGAGAAGAGUACGCCAAAUCAAGCAACUGAAACGAGGACUGAAAGACACUUGUGUUUGGCCUCGUCUAACUGAGAGGAAGGAUGUGGUAUUCUUUCCCAAGGAAUCGGAGGACUCAUGCACUCCUGAGAUGCUGCUUUCACACAUCUCCUGUCCUAGAGAGAGUGAUGACGAAGAUGAUGAAGAAUACUCAGCUGAUAUAAAGGAACGGAUCACAGGGUAUUUAAAGCAGUUCAUUGAGACAGCAUCCAGCAAGGACUUAAAAAACCUUCUGUAGUUCUGGGUCGGAUGGGAGCAGAUGGAGGAAAAUAUGGCUGUGGAAAUUGUGAAAAGUGAUCUCCCAAAAUCCUCUAGCUGCUUCUGUGUUCUCCGGCUCCCAGGGCACUACAACAGUUUCCAGUCCUUCACCAAGGACUUGAUGAUGUGCAUUGGCACUUGCAAGUAUGGUUUUGGCCAUGUGUAGUUUUUAUGUUACAUUUGUUACACAGUGAUACACACUUUUAUUAAAUGCUGUUACUGCACUUAGGACCAAUGCUUUGUUCAAACCCAGCUUACAGGUUUUUUUCUUUUUCAUUUUUGGGAUUGCUUUGUACAUGAUGCUUGUUGAUCAUGUUGCUAUUUUUUUGAUACUAUGCUAUAAGAUAUAGUACAUUAAGUAAUUGGUUAAUGUUCUGUACACGCAGUCACUUAUACGGUCAACUUGUAUCGUUCCACAAUGGUUUUCUUCAUGCAUGGGCUCAUGCAGUGCUAUAGACAUUGUUGUUCCAUAGCUUGUCGGAAUUUGCUAAAUACCAUUAAGUACUUUAUUCUUUUAAAGUAUUAGAAUUAAUGCAAAAUGUAUAUUUAAACAUGUUCAAUAAAAGUACAAAUAUUCAAAA
Molecule: long non-coding RNA, 897 nt
Organism: Carassius auratus (goldfish)
Lineage: Eukaryota; Metazoa; Chordata; Actinopteri; Cypriniformes; Cyprinidae
Exons: 3
Source: RefSeq, a predicted model, not a curated record